This 323-nucleotide unclassified non-coding RNA is filed under the name soil metagenome. RNAcentral's name for it is "partial contains 5.8S ribosomal RNA, internal transcribed spacer 2, and large subunit ribosomal RNA". The stretch from base 1 to 120 matches the Rfam family "5.8S ribosomal RNA", at positions 35 to 154 of the family's 154-position model. The record is from RNAcentral.
GAUGAAGAACGCAGCGAAAUGCGAUAAGUAAUGCGAAUUGCAGAAUUCAGUGAGUCAUCGAAUCUUUGAACGCACAUUGCGCCCUGUGGUAUUCCGCAGGGCAUGCCUGUUCGAGCGUCAUUUCGACCCUCAAGCUCUGCUUGGUGUUGGGCCCUGCCCGCUGCGGCCGGCCCUAAAGACAGUGGCGGUGCCGCCUGGCCCUGAGCGUAGUACAUCUCUCGCUCCAGUGCCCGGUGGUAGCCUGCCAGAACCCCAACUCUCGUGGUUGACCUCGGAUCAGGUAGGGAUACCCGCUGAACUUAAGCAUAUCAAUAAGCGGAGGA